This 260-nucleotide long non-coding RNA is filed under the name Gossypium barbadense (sea-island cotton). Its description in RNAcentral is "long non-coding RNA (GBAR_LNC001664)". The record is from RNAcentral. Lineage: Eukaryota; Viridiplantae; Streptophyta; Magnoliopsida; Malvales; Malvaceae.
AAGGAGAUAGAUGAAUUUGUUGGUAUUGACAUAUUGUUUUGAUAUGAUUUUGGUCAUGGUUUUGAGUAAUGAAAUGGUUGUGAAUGAGAUAGCAUAUUUUGUGUAUUAAAUGGCAUAUUUUGGUUGUUUAAAUAUGUAUGAAAAUGGUGCAAAUUAUUGUUGUUUAAGUAUGCAUGUGAUGGGUGAGAAAUGUGGUUUAAACCAAGCCUAAUUUUACCUCACAUGGUUAAGUACAAUGGCGUGUGACUCGACCGUGUGCC